Carya illinoinensis is the source of this 2440-nucleotide long non-coding RNA. RefSeq lists it as uncharacterized. The record is from RefSeq and is a predicted model, not a curated record. The transcript has 2 exons. NCBI's taxonomy places the organism in Eukaryota, Viridiplantae, Streptophyta, Magnoliopsida, Fagales, Juglandaceae.
AUAUAUAUAUAUAUGUAUGUAUGUAUGUAUAUAUAUAUAUGUAUAUUAACCUUGUACGUGAUGCUCAGCUGCCUUUCUCUUGCUUUCCACUGAUAUCUAUCUAUAUAGUGACCUUGUAUGUCAUGAUGCUACACUGGAGGCUGCAAAAAGGUAAUGCUAGAUAUGGACUUUCAUUUCUUCCCUCUGGCUUUAUAGAGAUGAUGUCUAUUAAAAUGUGGCCUGAAUUGUUUUUGAAUUUCUUUAUCAUUUCAGUAUCAGUUACAAUGUCUUAAUCCAAUUAUUAUUUGGCAGCACUUCUUUGCAUCUUUUCUGUUCCGUGAUGAAGCUUUCAAGCUCAUAAAUGACGGAUGGUUGAAUCAUAUUAAUGGUGUCAAAGGAGCUACAAAACAGCAGGUGUUGAAUGAUAACUUUGUUUAUUUUGGUGACUAAUAUGAGUUCUUAAUUUUUUUUCUGCAUCAGGUUCUGCCUCAUUUCUCCGAUGAGCAGGCGUUUUUAAGUUUGGAAGAAAUUUCCAUAACAAAGAUGCCUUCACAAUGCCUUCACCUGAUUUUAACAAUGAGGUUUUACAAACAGGUCUAGACAUCAAAAGUUGCUUUAUGAAGUUUUUUAGCAUCUUAAAUGUACGUGGGAGGGUUUGGCAUCUGAUUCACUUCAAGAACGACUGGAUUUAUUUGGGGAUACAACAAACUUGAGGAGGAAAAGGUUAGAAAAGCAAUAUUUUGGGUUUUAAUCUUUCCCCUCAAUUUUUAUUUUUCCAUUAUUUCUUGCUCUGUCUCCCUCAUUGAUUGGUUCUUCUACUCUUCCAUCCUGUUCUAGGAAAGCAAGCUACAGAACCUAUGACCUGAAAAAAAUUAAUUAGUAAAUAUUUUAUAUUUCUUGGAAUAUGGUUAUUAUAUCUUUUGGGUUUUAACUAUAGAAUAUUAUUUUUCUGUUGCAUGUAGAUCUACAUUUAGGCUGGCAGAGAAUCUCUUCUCUACUCAAUGUAAGCCAAACUUUAAACUCACCCAUGGCUCUUGCUUUUACAUGUUAAUUUUGUAGCAACCCUUCUCCAUAGGGUUAGGAAUGUUACUUCCAUUACUUUACUUCACCUCAGGUGUUAAGAAAUGCCAUAAUUCUUAUUAAACUAGUUUUCUUAAUGUAUCAUAUGUUACGAAACCAAAAUAAUUAAUACAAUUUCCUUUAUAUAGUCAUAAUAGAAGGAAGCAAAUCCUAAAUACUGUGUAGGAUUCUUAUUAAAGCAUGAUUAAGUCAAGGUCUUCUAAAACUAGUUUUUGCUUUAUAACUUGUUCUAGCCUGCUGACCCAUCCUUAUCACCAUCAAUACAUGGGAUGUCUAAAAUGCCCUAUGUAUAGACUGCUCAUUAUUUUACUAAUGUAUCUAUUUCAUAAUCAUAUACAUGUUUUCUCACCUCUUUGGUUUCACUUUCAGCUCGAACUUACAGGUAUCGCAAGGUAUGCAUUAUUUGGAUCUUCUCUUCUAUUGUUGUGUUUGGACGAUUGGGAGCUUGUGUUUAUUGCCUUGACUUUACACUAAUGAGCUAAAAAAGAAUGCAAAGUAAACUAGUAAUGAACAUCAAUUUGGAUUUCUAUUAUAACUUGACUUCUCCAGUGGUUUGGAAAUCCACUUUGAACAUAUAGUGUAUUGUCCGUUGCUUUGUCUCUUUAUUUCUUAUAAUAAUUCAUUUUUUGCAACAUGCAAGCAUAUAGUACCUGCUCUGCAAUUGAUGGGUGUAGUUAGAAGUCAAUUUGUUUCAAUUUCUUGCUUGUGCAAGCAUAUGGCACCUAUACUCUCGCAUAUCAAUAUUGCAGUAUGACAUGCUUUAUGAUUAGGAUUGUUGGAGCAAAACUUUGCUGAAAAUACAUAAAUUAACUCUCUCUCUCUCUCUCUCUCUCUCUCUCUCUCUCUCUCCAUAUUAACUUUAAUUUUUCUUAUGCAUGCUUCCCAGCUAUAUAUAUCAUUUUUAGAUCAGACUUUACCGAUUAGGGGUGAUUCAAACUCUGUUUCUGGUGAUCAAUAAUGUUUUUUUAUUUUUUAUUUUUAUUUUUUGUAAUCUCUCUUUCUCAUGCUUUGUUUACCAUAUUAAGGAAUUAGAUCGGUUGAUAUUUAAUUAUUUACUUUUAAUAUAUAAGUAAAGGGGUUCUUAGAAUUAAAAACCAACUUUAAGUAAUUAAAGACCAUAUAUAUCUCAAUAACCCCCUGAUUUGCAGGUUAUGGCUCUACAAUGGGCAGCUGCAACUCUAACUAUGUAUCUGGAAUUACAGAAGAUUCACUGAAGAUGUUAUUCUUUUUUGCAAAGAUUUUGAUUGGAUCUCAAAAUGUUCAUUCAUGUUAUGUAUUUAGAUAGCCACAGUAUUUGUAUAACUGGAAUGAUUUUAAGUAUGGGGAUCUGUUCUUGUAUUUGUAUUAGUCAUUUAUAAAUACUUUGAUGGCAUUUAUUUCA